Long non-coding RNA from Pezoporus flaviventris, 607 nucleotides. RefSeq lists it as uncharacterized. The transcript has 3 exons. Lineage: Eukaryota; Metazoa; Chordata; Aves; Psittaciformes; Psittacidae. The record is from RefSeq and is a predicted model, not a curated record.
CGGCCAUGUCGCAGCGCAGCACCCCCCGCGCGUCCUCGGGGUCGGGGGUUCGCCCCAUCUCGUAGUCCACCAAGGCAUGGGGGGGCCGCAGGAGGAGCCACAGGGCCGCCCCCACCAGCUGCAUCCCGCUGAGGGCGAAGAUGCGGUAGAUGCGGUUGGUCUUGGUGAGGAGCGCGGCGUAGCUGAGGCUCAUCCCUAAGCCCAAGAAGAGCCUCCUCAUGGCGCAGACGCCCACCCCCGGCUCGGCCACCAUGAGGAAGGUGAUGGCGUAGACCAAAGCGAUGCCCACCAGCAGGACGUAGCUGAGCUCCCGCCCCGACGCCUUCACGAUGGGCGUCUCGUGGUGCUUGAUGAAGCUGCCGCUGCCGUUGGCGCCCUGGAACUGGAAGAUGUCGUAUCUGCCCGGAGCAUCGCCGUUCUCAUUGAAGCUCACGGGGGUCCCUGCACUGCCUGCACCAGUACGGACCAGUACAAACCAGUAUGGACCAGUACAAACCAGUAUGGACCAGUACGGACCAGUACGGACCAGUACAAACCAGUAUGGACCAGUACGGACCAGUAUGGACCAGUAUGGACCAAUCCAGGCCCAGGAACACCCAGUAAGGAC